GGAGGGCCGUAUUUAUUAGAUAACAGCCAAUAAGACUCGCGUCUAUUGUGGUGACUCAUAGUAACUGAUCGGAUCGCAUGGGCUUGUCCCGCGACAAACCAUUCAAGUUUCUGCCCCAUCAGCUUUCGAUGGUAGUGUAUUGGACUACCAUGGCUUUUACGGGUAACGGAGGAUUAGGGUUCGAUUCCGGAGAGGGAGCCUGAGAAACGGCUACCACAUCCAAGGAAGGCAGCAGGCGCGUAAAUUACCCAAUCCUGACUCAGGGAGGUAGUG
This 273-nucleotide ribosomal RNA is filed under the name uncultured Spirotrichea. Its description in RNAcentral is "partial small subunit ribosomal RNA". It matches the Rfam family "Eukaryotic small subunit ribosomal RNA", at positions 195 to 469 of the family's 1831-position model. The record is from RNAcentral. Lineage: Eukaryota; Ciliophora; Spirotrichea.